Molecule: ribosomal RNA, 374 nt
Filed under: uncultured organism
Description: bacterial SSU rRNA
Rfam family: Bacterial small subunit ribosomal RNA
Source: RNAcentral
CGUAGGUGGCAAGCGUUGUCCGGAACUUAUUGGGCGUAAAGACGCGCGCAGGCGGUUCCUUAAGUCCGAUGUGAAAGCCCCCGGCUCAACCGGGGAAGGUCAUUGGAAACUGGGGAACUUGAGUGCAGAAGAGAAGAGCGGAAUUCCACGUGUAGCGGUGAAAUGCGUAGAGAUGUGGAGGAACACCAGUGGCGAAGGCGGCUCUUUGGUCUGUAACUGACGCUGAGGCGCGAAAGCGUGGGGAGCAAACAGGAUUAGAUACCCUGGUAGUCCACGCCGUAAACGAUGAGUGCUAAGUGUUAGAGGGUUUCCGCCCUUUAGUGCUGCAGCUAACGCAUUAAGCACUCCGCCUGGGGAGUACGGCCGCAAGGCUG